RNAcentral lists this transfer RNA (73 nucleotides) under Candidatus Adamsella sp. Its description in RNAcentral is "tRNA-Glu". It matches the Rfam family "tRNA". Rfam says of the family: Transfer RNA (tRNA) molecules are approximately 80 nucleotides in length. Their secondary structure includes four short double-helical elements and three loops (D, anti-codon, and T loops). Lineage: Bacteria; Bacillati. The record is from RNAcentral.
AGCGGCAUCGUCUAGUGGUUCAGGAUCGCAGACCCUCAUUCUGCUGACACGGGUUCGAAUCCCGUUGCCGCUA